RNAcentral lists this ribosomal RNA (446 nucleotides) under uncultured bacterium. Its description in RNAcentral is "partial 16S ribosomal RNA". It matches the Rfam family "Bacterial small subunit ribosomal RNA", at positions 338 to 795 of the family's 1533-position model. The record is from RNAcentral.
CCUACGGGGGGCAGCAGUCGAGAAUUAUUCACAAUGGGGGAAACCCUGAUGGUGCGACGCCGCGUGGGGGAAUGAAGGUCUUCGGAUUGUAAACCCCUGUCAUGUGGGAGCAAAUUAAAAAGAUAGUACCACAAGAGGAAGAGACGGCUAACUCGGUGCCAGCAGCCGCGGUAAUACAGAGGUCUCAAGCGUUGUUCGGAAUCACUGGGCGUAAGGCGUGCGUAGGCUGUUUCGUAAGUCGUGUGUGAAAGGCGCGGGCUCAACCCGCGGACGGCACAUGAUACUGCGAGACUAGAGUAAUGGAGGGGGAACCGGAAUGCUCGGUGUAGCAGUGAAAUGCGUAGAUAUCGAGAGGAACACUCGUGGCGAAGGCGGGUUCCUGGACAUUAACUGACGCUGAGGCACGAAGGCCAGGGGAGCGAAAGGGAUUAGAUACCCGAGUAGUC